AUAGGUCAAGCUACAAAGGGCGCAUGGUGAAUGCCUUGGCAUCAGGAGCCGAUGAAGGACGCGAUAAGCUGCGAUAAGCUUCGGGUAGACGCACAUAGUCAGAGAUCCGAAGAUUUCCGAAUGAGGAAACUCACAUGGGAAACCCCAUGUAUCGUAAAGUGAAUACAUAGCUUUAUGAAGGUAAACCCAGGGAACUGAAACAUCUAAGUACCUGGAGGAAGAGAAAGAAAAAUCGAUUUUCUUAGUAGCGGCGAGCGAAAGGGAAAGAGCCCAAACCAAAGAUUUAUCUUUGGGGUUGCGGACAGAACAUUAACGAGAAAUUAUGGUUAACCGAACACAACUGGAAAGUUGGACCGUAGGGGGUAAUAGUCCUGUAGGUGAAAAUU
Molecule: ribosomal RNA, 386 nt
Filed under: Clostridium botulinum
Lineage: Bacteria; Bacillati; Bacillota; Clostridia; Eubacteriales; Clostridiaceae
Description: partial 23S ribosomal RNA
Rfam family: Bacterial large subunit ribosomal RNA
Source: RNAcentral